ACCCAUUGAACAAUUUUUGCGAAUAUUUAUCGGAAUAUCUAAAAACAUUCUACAUCAAGAACACGUACAUAUGCAAGAGAAGGAAAAUGUAUUAGACAUAUCUUUGCAAAAUGAAAAUGACAAAAAUUAUGAAGAGGAAUUAUUUGUCGGACUACCUGAAACUGUUUGUUAUGAACAACAUAUAAAUAUGCAAAGAAACGAAAAUAUUCCAAAUAUAUCUUUGAUAGACAAUACUGG
RNAcentral lists this long non-coding RNA (237 nucleotides) under Harpegnathos saltator (Jerdon's jumping ant). RNAcentral's name for it is "uncharacterized LOC112590054". The record is from RNAcentral. Lineage: Eukaryota; Metazoa; Arthropoda; Insecta; Hymenoptera; Formicidae.